Molecule: ribosomal RNA, 253 nt
Filed under: uncultured bacterium
Lineage: Bacteria
Description: partial 16S ribosomal RNA
Rfam family: Bacterial small subunit ribosomal RNA
Source: RNAcentral
UACGUAGGGUCCGAGCGUUGUCCGGAAUUACUGGGCGUAAAGCGCUCGUAGGUGGUUUGUCGCGUUGUUCGUGAAAACUCACAGCUCAACUGUGGGCGUGCGGGCGAUACGGGCAGACUUGAGUACUGCAGGGGAGACUGGAAUUCCUGGUGUAGCGGUGGAAUGCGCAGAUAUCAGGAGGAACACCGGUGGCGAAGGCGGGUCUCUGGGCAGUAACUGACGCUGAGGAGCGAAAGCGUGGGGAGCGAACAGG